RNAcentral lists this long non-coding RNA (803 nucleotides) under Physcomitrium patens. RNAcentral describes it as "long non-coding RNA (PPAT_LNC001730)". Lineage: Eukaryota; Viridiplantae; Streptophyta; Bryopsida; Funariales; Funariaceae. The record is from RNAcentral.
CAACAAAAUCCUAAUUUUAAUAGAAUACUAACAAUGCUAAAUAAGCUUUAAUCAAAUUUAAAGAAACCUCAAGGAAAUUCCAAAGAAACAAUAAGAAAUCUCAAAGAAAUAUUAGAAUGAUUACAAACAUAUUUCAAAUACAAUUCAAUUUAAUCUCAAUUUAAUCCUAGUUGAAAUCUUAUUGGACUUCAUUCAAACUUUAGGCCAAAAACUAACUAAAUAGUGAAUCCUAAAGAAACUCAAAUAAAAUCCUAUAUCCUAAAUCAAAUCCUAAUCAAAUCCUAACCAAACCUUAAACCUUGAACCAAACCCUAAACCCUAAAUCAAAUCCUAACCAAAUCAUAAAUCUUAAACUAAAUCCUAAUCCUAAAUCAAAGCCUAACCAAACCCUAACCAAAUCCUAAUCCUAACCAAAUUCUAAUCCUAAUUCUAAACCCUAAACCAAAUGCUAAUCAAAUCCUAAACCUAAAUCAAAUCCUAACCAAAUCCUAAGCCUAAAUCAAAUCCUAACCAAAUCCUAGUAAUUUCUACAACAAAUUUAAACCUCAAUAACUAAUGAAUGAACCAUUGAUCUUAAUUCAAAUUUUACAAACUUCUUAAAAACUAAGUUGAAAACAAGUACAAAAAUUUUGAAAAGAAUCCAAAUUAUUAAAUAGACGAUAAUCUCAAAAAUGUGCUCGGGUAUUAGCUGAUCUCCUUCUCCAAUCUUAAUGCCAAUCUCUCAAAGCCAAUAUCUCUCUUUUUGACUAUUUGAUUGAUAUCAAAAUCCUUAUACACAUAGAAAAACAAGUCUAAUAUCUUCU